RNAcentral lists this transfer RNA (94 nucleotides) under Tayloriella tenebrosa. RNAcentral describes it as "tRNA-Ser". It matches the Rfam family "tRNA". From Rfam's summary of the family: Transfer RNA (tRNA) molecules are approximately 80 nucleotides in length. The record is from RNAcentral. Lineage: Eukaryota; Rhodophyta; Florideophyceae; Ceramiales; Rhodomelaceae.
GAGAGGGUGGCUGAGAGGAUUAAAGCGACAAUUUGCUAAGUUGUUAUAUUAUAUUAUAAAAAUAAUAUCAUGGGUUCGAAUCCCAUUCUUCUUA